AGACGAAGAGACCCACAGAUGAUUCAAACACUGCUGUACUUUAAUGGUUACUGCAAAAUACCACAGUUCACGAUGAUUCUACAGCGAUACUCUAGAACUGCUGUAACGUUCGAGUAGACAUAAGAUCACUGGGUGGAUUGUGUUUUUACCAACAUAUGAAACUGUAAUUAUCCAUGAGCACCGUACUGCCUUUGGAGAUACUGCUGGGACUGUGACUCAGACCUCCCUUGAGACAACUGGUCAUUAGGAGUCACAGUGAUGUGGAAUCAACUUUGUCUUUCUGAAAAGCUGGAGAUAUUCAUCAUAGCCUGGACUGCCUGGGAUCUACAUGUUUUCUCCGUGUUGUAAUGAUGUGAAACACUUUAUUAGCAGAGGAAGACAUUUUUAGGAGAAGCAUUUUGAAUCAGAAGGCUUAAGAAGAAUUCUGCUUUUCUCCCAACCAAUUUGUUGGAAAAUCAGUCAAAAUCUAAUUUUGAUGUUAUGCAAGUUCACUGGGGGCCAUGAAGCACCUGACACUUGGAUUGGACUUAAUCUUAAACCUCUGGAGUUCAAGACCUUUUAAAAGGGCUAAAUAAACAAUCUCUACAUGUAAAAGGC
RNAcentral lists this small RNA (597 nucleotides) under Pan troglodytes (chimpanzee). RNAcentral describes it as "processed transcript". Lineage: Eukaryota; Metazoa; Chordata; Mammalia; Primates; Hominidae. The record is from RNAcentral.